This 282-nucleotide ribosomal RNA is filed under the name uncultured Erysipelothrix sp. Its description in RNAcentral is "partial 16S ribosomal RNA". It matches the Rfam family "Bacterial small subunit ribosomal RNA", at positions 1099 to 1382 of the family's 1533-position model. The record is from RNAcentral. Lineage: Bacteria; Bacillati; Bacillota; Erysipelotrichia; Erysipelotrichales; Erysipelotrichaceae.
CAACCCUUGUCUUUAGUUACCAUCAUUAAGUUGGGGACUCUAGAGAGACUGCCGGUGAUAAACCGGAGGAAGGUGGGGAUGACGUCAAAUCAUCAUGCCCCUUAUGGCCUGGGCUACAAACGUAAUACAAUGGCGUAUACAAAGGGAUGCGAAAGAGCGAUCUGGAGCAAAACUCAUAAAGUACGUCUCAGUUCGGAUUGAAGUCUGCAACUCGACUUCAUGAAGCUGGAAUCGCUAGUAAUCGCGGAUCAGCAUGCCGCGGUGAAUACGUUCUCGGGGUUU